Molecule: ribosomal RNA, 440 nt
Filed under: uncultured bacterium
Lineage: Bacteria
Description: partial 16S ribosomal RNA
Rfam family: Bacterial small subunit ribosomal RNA
Source: RNAcentral
CCUACGGGUGGCAGCAGUGGGGGAUAUUGCACAAUGGGGGAAACCCUGAUGCAGCGACGCCGCGUGUGGGAAGACGGUCCUCUGGAUUGUAAACCACUGUCCCCAGGGACGAAGAUGACGGUACCUGGGGAGGAAGCUCCGGCUAACUACGUGCCAGCAGCCGCGGUAAUACGUAGGGAGCAAGCGUUGUCCGGAAUUACUGGGUGUAAAGGGAGCGUAGGCGGGAUGGCAAGUUGGGUGUUAAAUCUACCGGCUCAACUGGUAGUCGCACUCAAAACUGCUAUUCUUGAGGGAAGUAGAGGCAGGCGGAAUUCCUAGUGUAGCGGUGAAAUGCGUAGAUAGCAGGAGGAACACCGGUGGCGAAGGCGGCCUGCUGGACUGCAACUGACGUUGAGGCCCGAAAGCGUGGGGAGCAAACAGGAUUAGAUACCCGAGUAGUC